This 253-nucleotide ribosomal RNA is filed under the name uncultured bacterium. RNAcentral's name for it is "partial 16S ribosomal RNA". It matches the Rfam family "Bacterial small subunit ribosomal RNA", at positions 524 to 776 of the family's 1533-position model. The record is from RNAcentral.
UACAGAGGGGGCAAGCGUUGUUCGGAAUUACUGGGCGUAAAGGGCGCGUAGGCGGCCUGCUAAGUCGAACGUGAAAUCCCUGGGCUCAACCCAGGAACUGCGUCCGAUACUGGUUGGCUUGAAUCCGGGAGAGGGAUGUGGAAUUCCAGGUGUAGCGGUGAAAUGCGUAGAUAUCAGGAGGAACACCGAUGGCGAAGGCAGCCCCCUGGGCUAACACUGACGCUCAUGCACGAAAGCGUGGGGAGCGAACGGG